This 437-nucleotide ribosomal RNA is filed under the name uncultured bacterium. Its description in RNAcentral is "partial 16S ribosomal RNA". It matches the Rfam family "Bacterial small subunit ribosomal RNA", at positions 29 to 507 of the family's 1533-position model. The record is from RNAcentral.
AGCGAACGCUGGCGGCAGGCUUAACACAUGCAAGUCGAGCGGGCAUCCUUGUGGUGUCAGCGGCAGACGGGUGAGUAACGCGUGGGAACGUGCCCUUCGGUUCGGAAUAACUCAGGGUAACUUGAGCUAAUACCGGAUACGUGCGAGAGCAGAAAGGUUUAUCUGCCGAAGGAUCGGGCCGCGUAUGAUUAGCUAGUUGGUGAGGUUAUGGCUCACCAAGGCGACGAUCAGUAGCUGGUCUGAGAGGAUGAUCAGCCACACUGGGACUGAGACACGGCCCAGACUGGUACGGGAGGCAGCGGAGGGGAAUAUUGGACGAUGGGGGCAACGCUGAUACAGCCAUGCCGGGUGAGUGGUGACGGCGUUAGGGUUGUAAAGCUCUUUUCUUCGGGACGAUAAUGACGGUACCGGAGGAAUAAGCCCCGGCUAACUUCGUG